RNAcentral lists this long non-coding RNA (330 nucleotides) under Rhinopithecus roxellana (golden snub-nosed monkey). Its description in RNAcentral is "lncRNA (ENSRROG00000046046.1)". The record is from RNAcentral. Lineage: Eukaryota; Metazoa; Chordata; Mammalia; Primates; Cercopithecidae.
GCUGCCGGCUGGGUGGCCCGCGAGCUGCACCCGGAUCUGCUCGGCGGCGGCGACGUGAGCGCGCAGGGGGGCGGCGGCCUCGCCUCGUCUCUCUCUCUGCGCCUGGGUCGGGUGGGUGACGCCGAGAGCCAGAGAGAUGUCGGAUUUCGACAGUAACCCGUUUGCCGACCCGGAUCUCAACAAUCCCUUCAAGGAUCCAUCAGUUACACAAGUGACAAGAAAUGUUCCACCAGGACUUGACGAAUAUAAUCCAUUCUCGGAUUCUAGAACAGUAAGAUUAUUCUUGCUUUUAAAUGUUUAAAAUGAAAUUCAAUAGGAAUUAUAUUUCAA